RNAcentral lists this ribosomal RNA (253 nucleotides) under uncultured bacterium. RNAcentral's name for it is "partial 16S ribosomal RNA". It matches the Rfam family "Bacterial small subunit ribosomal RNA", at positions 524 to 776 of the family's 1533-position model. The record is from RNAcentral.
UACGAACUGUGCAAACGUUAUUCGGAAUCACUGGGCUUAAAGGGUGCGUAGGCGGCUAUCUAAGCAGGGUGUGAAAGCCCCCGGCUCAACCGGGGAAUAGCGUUCUGAACUGGAUGGCUGGAGUGAGAUAGGGGUGUGUGGAACUUCCGGUGGAGCGGUGAAAUGUGUUGAUAUCGGAAGGAACGCCGGUGGCGAAAGCGACACACUGGGUCUCAACUGACGCUGAGGCACGAAAGCCAGGGGAGCGAACGGG